Molecule: ribosomal RNA, 253 nt
Filed under: uncultured bacterium
Lineage: Bacteria
Description: partial 16S ribosomal RNA
Rfam family: Bacterial small subunit ribosomal RNA
Source: RNAcentral
UACGUAGGCAGCGAGCGUUGUUCGGAGUUACUGGGCGUAAAGCGCGCGCAGGCGGCCUCCUAAGUCCGAUGUGAAAGCCCACGGCUCAACCGUGGAGGGUCAUUGGAAACUGGGGGACUUGAGUGCAGGAGAGAAGAGUGGAAUUCCACGUGUAGCGGUGAAAUGCGUAGAGAUGUGGAGGAACACCAGUGGCGAAGGCGGGUCUCUGGGCCGAUACUGACGCUGAGGAGCGAAAGCGUGGGGAGCGAACAGG